Molecule: ribosomal RNA, 433 nt
Filed under: uncultured bacterium
Lineage: Bacteria
Description: partial 16S ribosomal RNA
Rfam family: Bacterial small subunit ribosomal RNA
Source: RNAcentral
AACGAACGCUGGCGGCAUGCCUAACACAUGCAAGUCGAACGAGACCUUCGGGUCUAGUGGCGCAUGGGUGCGUAACGCGUGGGAACCUGCCCUUAGGUUCGGAAUAACUCCCCGAAAGGGGUGCUAAUACCGGAUAAUGUCUUCGGACCAAAGAUUUAUCGCCUUUGGAUGGGUCCGCGUUGGAUUAGCUAGUAGGUAGGGUAAAAGCCUACCAAGGCGACGAUCCAUAGCUGGUCUGAGAGGAUGAUCAGCCACACUGGGACUGAGACACGGCCCAGACUCCUACGGGAGGCAGCAGUGGGGAAUAUUGGACAAUGGGCGAAAGCCUGAUCCAGCAAUGCCGCGUGAGUGAUGAAGGCCUUAGGGUUGUAAAGCUCUUUUACCCGGGAUGAUAAUGACAGUACCGGGAGAAUAAGCUCCGGCUAACUCCGUG